This 71-nucleotide transfer RNA is filed under the name unidentified. RNAcentral's name for it is "Enteromius sp. Kalwungwishi tRNA-Cys". It matches the Rfam family "tRNA". From Rfam's summary of the family: Transfer RNA (tRNA) molecules are approximately 80 nucleotides in length. The record is from RNAcentral.
AUCAGUUCCGUGGUGUAUAACACAUUGGAUUGCAAAUCCAAAGAAGCAGAUUAAUAUUCUGCCGGGGCUUU